This is a long non-coding RNA of Amphimedon queenslandica, 287 nucleotides long. RefSeq lists it as uncharacterized. Lineage: Eukaryota; Metazoa; Porifera; Demospongiae; Haplosclerida; Niphatidae. The transcript is spliced from 3 exons. The record is from RefSeq and is a predicted model, not a curated record.
UUUACCUGGAUAUGGAGAUACUAUCUUUUAUUAUUGUUUGUCUCAUUUUAUUAGGAGAUGUCAAGCUCAAUCCUGUAUGGCCUUGUAACAGGUAUUAACUCAAUGGAAAUAUUACAGACUCAUUCUAGUAAACAGAGCUUUUUGCUGCACAGCUAAUACCAAACCAAACAAGGAAGGAUAUCAUGAGAACAAUGGGUGUAUCUGAUUACAACAAUCAAAGUAUUUGACUGAUGUUGGUCAUGUGUUUAAAAAACUGCAAAACUGUUUGUUUAUUGACAUUGCUACUU